This 253-nucleotide ribosomal RNA is filed under the name uncultured bacterium. RNAcentral's name for it is "partial 16S ribosomal RNA". It matches the Rfam family "Bacterial small subunit ribosomal RNA", at positions 524 to 776 of the family's 1533-position model. The record is from RNAcentral.
UACAGAGGUCCCAAGCGUUGUUCGGAUUCAUUGGGCGUAAAGGGUGCGUAGGCGGCGCGGUAAGUCGGGUGUGAAAUCUCGGGGCUUAACUCCGAAACUGCAUUCGAUACUGUCGUGCUUGAGGACUGGAGAGGAGACUGGAAUUUACGGUGUAGCGGUGAAAUGCGUAGAUAUCGUAAGGAAGACCAGUGGCGAAGGCGGGUCUCUGGACAGUUCCUGACGCUGAGGCACGAAGGCCAGGGGAGCAAACGGG